RNAcentral lists this transfer RNA (75 nucleotides) under Simkaniaceae bacterium. RNAcentral's name for it is "tRNA-Pro". It matches the Rfam family "tRNA". From Rfam's summary of the family: Transfer RNA (tRNA) molecules are approximately 80 nucleotides in length. The record is from RNAcentral. Lineage: Bacteria; Pseudomonadati; Chlamydiota; Chlamydiia; Parachlamydiales; Simkaniaceae.
CCGGGUGUAGCGCAGCUUGGUCAGCGCGCUUGCAUGGGGUGCAAGAAGUCGGAGGUUCGAAUCCUCUCACCCGGA